RNAcentral lists this ribosomal RNA (209 nucleotides) under uncultured bacterium. RNAcentral's name for it is "partial 16S ribosomal RNA". It matches the Rfam family "Bacterial small subunit ribosomal RNA", at positions 524 to 732 of the family's 1533-position model. The record is from RNAcentral.
UACGGAGGGUGCAAGCGUUAAUCGGAAUUACUGGGCGUAAAGCGCGCGCAGGCGGUGAUUUAAGCCAGAUGUGAAAGCCCCGAGCUUAACUUGGGAAUUGCAUUUGAAACUGGAUGGCUAGAGUAUGGUAGAGGUAGGUGGAAUUCCAUGUGUAGCGGUGAAAUGCGUAGAGAUGUGGAGGAACACCAGUGGCGAAGGCGGCUUUCUGG